RNAcentral lists this ribosomal RNA (253 nucleotides) under uncultured bacterium. RNAcentral describes it as "partial 16S ribosomal RNA". It matches the Rfam family "Bacterial small subunit ribosomal RNA", at positions 524 to 776 of the family's 1533-position model. The record is from RNAcentral.
UACGUGAGCCCCGAGCGUUAUCCGGAAUUAUUGGGCGUAAAGAGUGCGUAGGCGGCGUAGUUAGUCUCUUGUUUAAUCCUUCGGCUCAACCGAAGAACUGCAGGGGAAACGGCUAUGCUUGAGUAUGUAAGAGGUGAGCAGAACUUAUGGUGUAGGGGUGAAAUCCGUUGAUAUCAUAGGGAAUACCAAAUGCGAAGGCAGCUCACUGGUACAUUACUGACGCUGAGGCACGAAAGCGUAGGUAGCGAAUGGG